GCGUAGGGGGACGCGGGAGGGACAUUAAAGAGUUAAAAACAACUCCUAAACCCAUGUGAAACCUACCUUUGUUGCCUCGGCAGGUCUGCAACUUACCCUGAGGGUACCUACCCUGUAGGUACCUUACCCGGUAGUUGCGGGCAUAACCUGCCGGUGGUCUACUAAACUCUGUUUACUAUGUCAUUCUGAAUAAUAUAACUAAAUAAGUUAAAACUUUCAACAACGGAUCUCUUGGUUCUGGCAUCGAUGAAGAACGCAGCGAAAUGCGAUAAGUAAUGUGAAUUGCAGAAUUCAGUGAAUCAUCGAAUCUUUGAACGCACAUUGCGCCCAUUAGUAUUCUAGUGGGCAUGCCUGUUCGAGCGUCAUUUCAACCCUUAAGCCCUGUUGCUUAGCGUUGGGAGCCUACAGAUACCCUCUGUAGUUCCUUAAAGUUAGUGGCGGAGUCGGUUUCACACUCUAGACGUAGUAAAUUUUAUCUCGCCUAUAGAUGAGCCGGUCCCUUGCCGUAAAACCCCCUAAUUUCUAAAGGUUGACCUCGGAUCAGGUAGGAAUACCCGCUGAACUUAAGCAUAUCAUAGCGGGGAGAGGAAA
RNAcentral lists this ribosomal RNA (591 nucleotides) under Xylaria sp. CF45. Its description in RNAcentral is "eukaryotic LSU rRNA". The stretch from base 212 to 365 matches the Rfam family "5.8S ribosomal RNA". The record is from RNAcentral. Lineage: Eukaryota; Fungi; Ascomycota; Sordariomycetes; Xylariales; Xylariaceae.